Molecule: small nucleolar RNA, 138 nt
Filed under: Ornithorhynchus anatinus (platypus)
Lineage: Eukaryota; Metazoa; Chordata; Mammalia; Monotremata; Ornithorhynchidae
Source: RNAcentral
CCCCUCUCAGGGUCACACCUGAGGAGUUUCCAUUACUCUACCAGUCCUGGCUAUGGGAGAGAGAGUCAAGCAGAGGCCUAACCAUUCCAUUCCUAGCUUGGGCAGUGGCUAGUGAGUGGAAGGCAAUCUGGUACAAGU